This 1092-nucleotide ribosomal RNA is filed under the name Ocellularia garoana. Its description in RNAcentral is "eukaryotic LSU rRNA". It matches the Rfam family "Eukaryotic large subunit ribosomal RNA", at positions 86 to 1156 of the family's 3401-position model. Lineage: Eukaryota; Fungi; Ascomycota; Lecanoromycetes; Ostropales; Graphidaceae. The record is from RNAcentral.
UGUGCGAUGAGAGGCGCGCACAGCUCAAAUUUAAUAACUGGCCUUUGGCCCGAGUUGUAAUUUGUAGAAGGUGCUUCGGGCGAGGCCACGGUCCAAGUCCCUUGGAACAGGGUGUCGCAGAGGGUGAGAAUCCCGUACGCGGCCGAUGACCAAGCCCGUGUGAAGCCCUUUCGACGAGUCGAGUUGUUUGGGAAUGCAGCUCCAAAUGGGUGGUAAAUUUCAUCUAAAGCUAAAUAUCUGUCAGAGACCGAUAGCGCACAAGUAGAGUGAUCGAAAGAUGAAAAGCACUUUGAAAAGAGAGUCAAACAGUACGUGAAAUUGUUGAAAGGGAAGCGCUUGCAACGAGACUCGUUCGCGGGUGUUCAGCCGUCCCUCGGGGCGGUGCACUCUCCCGCGUUCGGGCCAGCAUCGGUUUCGGCGGCCGGAUAAAGGCCCUGGGAACGUAGCUCUUUUCGGAGAGUGUUAUAGCCCGGGGUGUAAUGCGUCCAGCCGGGACCGAGGAUCGCGCGUUCGCUAGGAUGCUGGCGUAAUCGUUGUCAGCGACCCGUCUUGAAACACGGACCAAGGAGUCGACCAAUCCGGCAAGUUUUAGGGCGUGAACCCCUGAAGCGCAAUGAAAGUGAAUGUAGGUGGGAGCCUUCGGGUGCACCAUCGACCGAUCCUGAUGUUUUCGGAUGGAUUUGAGUAUGAGCCCGGCUGGUCGGACCCGAAAGGUAUUUUUAUCCCUUGACUUUGACAGAAGGUGUUACUAACUUUUUAGAUGGUGAACUAUGCGUGAAUAGGGUGAAGCCAGAGGAAACUCUGGUGGAGGCUCGCAGCGGUUCUGACGUGCAAAUCGAUCGUCAAAUUUGCGCAUAGGGGCGAAAGACUAAUCGAACUAUCUAGUAGCUGGUUCCCGCCGAAGUUUCCCUCAGGAUAGCAGCAACGAAAACAGUCUCAUGAGGUAGAGCAAACGAUUAGAGGUCUUGGGGUUGUAUUCGACCUUAACCUAUUCUCGAACUUCGAAUAUGUGAGAAGUCCUUGUUACUUAAUUGAACGUGGACAUUUGGAUGUAUCGUGCUAGUGGCCAUUUUUGUAAGCAGAACUGCGCGA